RNAcentral lists this long non-coding RNA (4569 nucleotides) under Sus scrofa (pig). RNAcentral describes it as "lncRNA (ENSSSCG00000061224.1)". The record is from RNAcentral. Lineage: Eukaryota; Metazoa; Chordata; Mammalia; Artiodactyla; Suidae.
GUUUGACUUGAGUAUUUAUAUCCCAAAUGCUUACAAUGGGAGGUACACAGCAGAACAAGAGCCUAGUAACAGAGUGGAGGUAAUUAUACAGAAAAAGAGUUGAAUCCCUAUGUUAAGAUUUUUAGCAAGCUAGACAAAUCAGAUUUUAAAGUUAAAUAUAUAUUUUUAAAGGUAAAGGCCCUAAAUGUGACUUGUUCUUGAUUCAUUCAGCAAUAUCUGCUGUGCUCCUGUUACGUGCCAGGCUCUGUACUGGCUGCUAGAGAUGUAGCUUUGAAUGGUCGUUUAAAAGCUUCCAAACUAGUGCUUCUAGCAUAUGUCUCAACAGAAGCUAAAAUUCAGACCGAGGCACUGAAAACUCAGUUGUGUACAGGAAAGAAGUCAGUCACGAUGGGAGCACAGGAUUAAAUGCCUCAGCUCAGCAAGGCUUCAAAUCCCAGAUUUGGUUUUUAUUUUUUAUUUUUAGGGCCAUAUUUUCCGCAUAUCAAAAUUCCCAGGAUAGGGAACUUACACCUAAGCUUGUGGUGACACCAGAUCUUUAACCCACUGAGCAAGGCCAGGGAUUGAACCUGCAUCCUCAUGGAUACCCAUCGGGAUUUUAUCCCACUGAGCCACCAUGGGAUUUCCCAUCAGACUUGGGGGGGGGCGGUUGGUGGUUUGUUUGUUUGACUUUUUGUCUUUUUCAGGGCCAUGCCCGCAGCAUAUGGAAGUUCCUAGGCGAGGGGUCUAAUCAGAGCUCUUGCCCCCGGCCUAGGCUACAGACACAGCAACGCGGGAUCUGAGCCACAUCUGCGACCUACACCACAGCUGACGGCAACGCCAGAUCCUUAACCCACUGAGCAAGGGCAGGGAUCGAAGCCGCAACCUCAUAGUUCCUGGUCAGAUUCAUUUCCGCUGCGCCACAACGGGAACUCCAGACAUGGUUUUAAAAACAGUUGGUUUUGUUUCCCCAUCCCCUUUUCUCCCAGACAGCUCAGAUCCUAGCAUACCUCUCGUGGAUAUUUGGGUGGGGAUUUAUCUAGGUUAUCAAAGUAGUCUGAGUUAUAAACCCCACUUCUUCCUCCCUUAUAGUAUUUUAUAAGCAAAAGUGGAGCGGCAACUGCAGUAGCCUGUGGGGUGGGCAUGGGACCUUCCAGGAUGUUUCUCCUAUUGACUUAACUGUUCAUGAAGUCUUCUGACUUUCAGCCAGGAAUUGAGAGUAAUGAUAGAGAACCCAUCAAACUCAACCUUUGAGACCACGCACUUCUCCCCAAGAUGAAGCUGACACAACAAGAAGGUGGAGAAUCAUCAAGACUAGGACGACAAAAUUUUUUAAAAAUUGAGGUAUAACUGACACCCCACAUUAUAUUAGUUGCAGGUUUACAACAUAAUGAUUCAAUAUCCAUCACCACAUGGGUACAAAAACUUUUUCCUCCUAAGAAGAACUUUUAAGAUCCUUAGCAACUUCCAAAUAUGCAAUGCAUUAUUGUUAACUAUAGUUAAAAUGCUUUACAUUACGUCCCUGCAACCUGUUUAUUACUGAAAGGUGGUACCUUUGGGCCUCCCUUCACCCACUUUGCUCCCUCCCUACCUCAGUCUGUUCUCUGUCUAUGCACUCAGUCGUGUGGGAGUCUUUCUGGUUUUUGCUGUUUUAGAUUUCACAUAGAAGUGAGAGCCUCUGGUAUCUGUCUUUCUUACUUUACUUAGCAUGAUGCAUUCAAGGUCUAUCCUGUUGUUGCAAACGGCAGUAUUUUUUAAAUAGGGGGUAAUAUUACCUUGUAUAAAUAGACCCAUUUUCUUUAUCCAGUCAUCCAUCGGUGGACACUUGGCUUGUUUCUACCCCUUGACUGUUGUAAAUAAUGCUUCAGUGAACAUGGGAAUACAGAUACCUUUUUCACUUAGUUGUUUUUCCUUUUCUCCAGAUAAAUACCUAGAAGUGAAACUGUUGAGUCCUAUGGUAGUUUCUAUUUUUAAUUUUUUUGAGGAACCUCCAUAGUGGCUGCACCAAUUUAUAGUCCCACCCAACAGUGCACACGGGUUCCCUUUUCUCCACACUUUUGUGAAAACUUAUUUCUUGUCUUUUGGUAACAGCCAGUUAAACAGGUAUGAGAUGAUAUCUCAUGGUUUUGAUUUUUAUUUCCCUGAUGAUUAGUGGUGUCAAGCACCUUUUCAGGUACCUGUUGAAUCUUUGUAUAUCUCCUCAGGAAAAAUGUCUAUUCAGUUCCUCUGUCCAUUUUAUAUUUGGAUUGUUUGUUUGCUGCUGAGUUGGAUGAAUGCUUAAUUUUGGAUAUUAACCCCUUAUCAGAUGUCUUAUUUGCAAAUAUUUUUUCCCAUUCAGUGGUUGUCUUUUUGUUUUGUUGAUGGUUUCCUUUGCUGUGGAGAAUGCUUUUUGUGUUGAUGUAGUCCCACUUACUAAAUUUUGGUUUCGGUGUCAAAUUAAAAAAAAAAAAAAAAAUCAUCGCUGAGAUUCAGAGAAAGAUGGCAGAGUAGAAGGACUCACGUUCACCUCCUGAACAGCCAUCAACAAAAUAGACUGGAAGCUGCCAUAAAAGAUAUCCUGCACCCAAAGACAAGUAGCCACAUGGAGACGGUAGGAGGGGCGUUUUCAUGAUAUAAGCAAUUCCACACCCAGGGGGUGGGUGACCCAAAGAUGAGAAUAACUAUAUUGCAGAAGCUCUCCCACAGGAGUGAGAAUUCCAAACCCCAGCUUGGGGGUCUGGCAUUGGGAGGGAGAGCCCCUGGAGCAUUCAGCAUUGAAAGCCUUUGGAAGCAGGGACUCCCUAAGGAUCUCAGUCAGACCUACCUGCAGGUCCUGGAGGGUCUCCUGGGAAAGCAUGGGGCAUCUGUGGCUUGCAUGGGGGCAGGACAUUGCAAGCAGAGGUCUCAGGGAAUAGUCACCAGCAUGUGCUCCCCUGGAGUCAGUCAUUUUGGAAACACCUGGGCCCACCCAGGUGUUCUCAGGGCUGAGAAGCCCCAGGCCAAACAACAAAUGGGGUGGGAACACAGCCCAGCCCAUUAGCACAGUCUGCCUACAGUUCUCCCAGGCACACACAGCUGCCUCUAGUCACGCUGAGACAAACCCCACCCACCAGUGGGCAGGCCCCAGUCCCUCCCAUCAGGAAUUCUGCAGCACACCCCCAUCUCAACUUCACCCACAAGGGGGCAGACACCAGAAGCAAGAGAGGCUACAACCCUGUACCCUGUAAAAAGGAGACCACACAAAAGCUAUAGAGAAUGAAAAGACAGAAACAUGAGCCAAAUGAAGAAACAAGACAAAACCCCAGGAAAACAGCUAAAUAAACUGGAGAUAAGCAACCUAUAUGAAAAAGGCUUUAGAGUAAUGACAGUAAAGAUGAUCCAAGAUCUCGGAAAAAACCUGGAGGCAAAGACUGAUAAAUUACGAGAAGCAUUGAACAAAGAAAUGGAAGAUACAAACAAGAAGACAUGAAAAACAGUAACUGAAAUGAAAAAUUCACUAGAAGGAACCAAUAGCAGAGUACAGGAGGCAGAAGAAUAAAUAAGCGAGGUGUUAAGACUGGUGGAAAUCACUGAGGGGGUAAAUGACAGCAACAUCUUCUCAGUUCCACCUCUCAGAGUAUUGACAAUAAAAAGAAAACAAAUGGGACCUACUCAAACUUCAAAGUUUCUGCACAGCAGAGGAAAACCUAAACAACACGAAAAGACAACCCACAGAAUGGGAGAAAAUCUUUGCAAGUGAAUCGACUGACAAGGGAUUAAUCUCCAAAAUUUAUAAACACCUUCUGCAGCUCCAUACCAAAAAAACAAACAACCCCAUCAAAAAAUGGGCAGAAGAUCUAAACAGACAGUUCUCCAAAGAAGACAUACAGAUGGCCAAAAAACACGUGAAAAGAUGUUCAACGUUACUCGUUCUUAGAUGCAAAUCAAAACCAAGAUGAGGUACCACCUUACACCAGCCAGAAUGGCCAUCAUCCAAAAGUCUACAAACAAUAAGUGUUGGAGAGGGUGUGGAGAAAAAGGAACACUAGUACACUGUUGGUGGGAUUGUAAUUGGUGCAACCACUGUGGAAAGCAGUAUGGAGAGUCCUCAGAAAACUAAACAUAGAACUACCAUUCGAUCCAGCAAGCCCACUCCUGGGCAUCUAUCCAGAGAAAACCACGACUCGCAAAGACACAUGUACUCCAAUGUUCAUUGCAGCACUAUUUGCAAUAGCCAAGACAUGGAAACACCUAAAUGUCCAUCGACAGAGGAGUGGCUCAAGAAGAUGUGGUACAUAUACACAAUGGAAUAUUACUCAGCCAUUAAAAAGAACAAAAUACCAGCAUUUUUUGCAACAUGGAUGGACCGAGAAACUAUCAUGCUAAGUGAAGUCAGCCAUACAAUGAGACACCAACAUCAAAUGCUUUCACUGACAUGUGGAAUCUGAAAAAAGGACAGACUGAACUUCUUUGCAGAACAGAUGCUGACUCACAGACACUGAAAAACUUAUGGUCUCCGGAGGUGACAGUUUGGGGGGUGGGGGGAUGUGCCUGGGCUGUGGGAUGGAAAUCCUGUGAAAUCAGAUUGUUAUGAUAAUUAUACAACUACAGAUGUGAUAAAUUCAUUUGAGUAAU